UCUUAACCACACACAGGUGUAGCCACUCAUUCAUUACCCGCUCGUUCUCUGUGACACGUCUUCCCAUUUACAGCCAGCACUUGACCACAACUACACUUCCACAGUUGCAACCAUACGAAGUCAUAAAGAACUCAAAAGGAUAUGGCGCAACUGCGAUACUUCCUAGAGGAGGCCAUCCACCAAACGUCAGUGAACGAGUAAGGAGGGCAUCAUUGGGAGGCAGGUUCUGCUGUAAUAGACGUUUAUCCAUUCAGUCACGGCUCUCCACGCUGACUUAAUAAACUGAAUGUACAAGAGAGAGUAGCCUGGAGUGAAGAGCGGCUCGGAUGGAAAUGAAUCAGCCUCGGCUCCGGGUUUCUUCGGCUGGAACUCGUCCACAUCCAGCCUGUGGUACAGGAGCUUGUUUCAGGAGUGUGCUGAAGUCUGUUUUUCUCCAUGAUUAUCACAGCCUCUCUGUGUAGGACACUACAGAAUGAUAUUCACGACAAGAGUGACAAGUGAUGCGUGUUAAAGCCGAAGUUGAAGCUGUUGGAGUAAAUCCAUGUGAUAGCAAUCACCAUCACCGUGAUAUCAUAUUUGGUAACAGUUUAUUUUAAGGGGGCCUACUGUAAACCAGGCCUGUGGUGAAUUCUUGAAUCUGAUUGGUCAGAAGGUGUUGAUUUAAUGUGCUAUAACGGCACUUCUGAUAAUAGUGCAGCUGCGUUAAUGUGCUCAUUCUAAUAUGUUCUCAUUUCUAUAGUAACAGCUCAUUUAUAGG
Ictalurus punctatus (channel catfish) is the source of this 757-nucleotide long non-coding RNA. NCBI's taxonomy places the organism in Eukaryota, Metazoa, Chordata, Actinopteri, Siluriformes, Ictaluridae. The record is from Ensembl.